Molecule: non-coding RNA, 1494 nt
Organism: Microcebus murinus (gray mouse lemur)
Lineage: Eukaryota; Metazoa; Chordata; Mammalia; Primates; Cheirogaleidae
Source: RefSeq, a predicted model, not a curated record
UAUAAUUAGAGAUGUACAUAGAAAUUUAUGUAAAGGAAAUUGAUCAUAAAAUUAUUUACAUUAGCAACAUACUUGAAUCCAAUAAAGAGAUGGGUUAAAUAAAUCACAGUACAUCCAGAAGAUGGACUACUAUGUAGCUUCUAAAAAUCAAGCUGCGAAUUAUGCUAAGCAAAAAAACAGACACAAAAGACCACAUGCUAUAUGAUUCCAUUUACAUGAAAUUCUAGAAAAGACAAAGCUAUGACAACAGAAAGCAGAUCUAUGGUUGCCAAGGGCCAGGGGGUGGGGGAAGGGAGCUGACUACAGAGAGGGUAGCCUAAGAGUACAGUGUUUAUAAAGUCUACAGGGAUGUCCUAGGCCUUCACAUUCACUCUCAACCUACUGACUCAACCAGAGCAACUUUGAAUCCUGCAAGAUGAAACCUUGAUAUCUUUUUGGGAGGAUUCAUCGUCUGAUUUCAUGUCAUCUGAUGAAGGAGGUUCAUGAAGGUUUUCAUCCUUCUCUUUGUUUUCAGUCUUAAUUUCUGUUGCAACAACAGUUCCAGACUGACUUUGCAAACCACCUAACAAAGAGGCAAAGGACCAUGAAGACGAACUCAUGAGGGCAAGUGAUGUAGGAAUAGAGACAUGACAGAAGCAGGAGCAGGUAUAAAGAUAACCAGUAAAUACUGAAAAGAGCCUAAAGCAUCCGAACUGACACAGUAUCUCAGAAUCUUCCUCAUAAGAAUUCUCUAGGUAGAAAUGUAUGGCCUGAGAAGUUCCCAAGGAAAACAAUGGGGAUUUAAAACAAGAAUGAUGGCCUUAGAAGCUGCCUAUGUAGCUCUGCACCUGUGUAUCUAUCCUUACAAGGCCUCUGGUGAGUCUGAUUAAUGUUCAAGCCUAAGAACUAGGGCAAGUAUAGAGAGCAUACAGUGGGUAGAAUUUUUUAUUCUACAUAACAGGCCAUUGCCAUACAAGGAACAGAACAAUUUCCACAUAAUAUAUAGGCACUCUGGUUUGUUCUUUUUCCCUUCAACUGUGAAUACUUUAUUACACAGUGCUUUCAUUUAUUCUUCCUAUAUUUCCAUCUCAUCUCUGCUCUGCUAUGGGGUAUAUGUAGAGGAUGUGGAGACAAGAAGGAAGCACUAGAUAUAAGAGAUGGGAGAAAUGCACCUGCACAAAAUCAGUCUUUGAUUUGUUGUUUUAACAGGAUAUGUGAAAGUAUUUUUCUUUGAUUACGACUGAAGAAUUGAAAAGGAUGCUUAUUAACUCCUUCGCUACACAAUUCAACAGUCCAGUUGUCAUUAAUUAAUUGAAUUAAAGGGAAAAAGAAUAUCAUUCACUGAACAUCAAAUAAAGAGAAAGAAAUGUGAGAUUUUACUUGGGACCAUUAUUUUUUGAAAAAUGUCUAAGUCUCUGAUUCUCCAUUUCACUAAUGUUCCUUCAUACACACUGAGUUCUGCUAUGACCUGCCUUCCUACUCAAUGUUAAUUAAAACCAAAGGACACUUUGGUAG